AGAGUUUGAUCAUGGCUCAGAACGAACGCUGGCGGCAUGCCUAACACAUGCAAGUCGAACGCUUCCGGGAUUUCGGUCUCGGGGGAGUGGCGCACGGGUGAGUAGCGCGUGGGAACCUGCCCUGUUGUGGGGGAUAACCGAGGGAAACUUCGGCUAAUACCGCAUGCGCCCGGGGCAACCCGGGGAAAGAUUUAUUCGCA
Molecule: ribosomal RNA, 200 nt
Filed under: uncultured bacterium
Lineage: Bacteria
Description: partial 16S ribosomal RNA
Rfam family: Bacterial small subunit ribosomal RNA
Source: RNAcentral